GACGAACGCUGGCGGCGUGCUUAACACAUGCAAGUCGAACGGAAAGGCCCUGCUUUUGUGGGGUGCUCGAGUGGCGAACGGGUGAGUAACACGUGAGUAACCUGCCCUUGACUUUGGGAUAACUUCAGGAAACUGGGGCUAAUACCGGAUAGGAGCUCCUGCUGCAUGGUGGGGGUUGGAAAGUUUCGGCGGUUGGGGAUGGACUCGCGGCUUAUCAGCUUGUUGGUGGGGUAGUGGCUUACCAAGGCUUUGACGGGUAGCCGGCCUGAGAGGGUGAUCGGCCACAUUGGGACUGAGAUACGGCCCAUACUCCUACGGGAGGCAGCAGUGGGGAAUAUUGCACAAUGGGCGGAAGCCUGAUGCAGCAACGCCGCGUGCGGGAUGACGGCCUUCGGGUUGUAAACCGCUUUCGCCUGUGACGAAGCGUGAGUGACGGUAAUGGGUAAAGAAGCACCGGCUAACUACGUG
RNAcentral lists this ribosomal RNA (468 nucleotides) under uncultured bacterium. RNAcentral's name for it is "partial 16S ribosomal RNA". It matches the Rfam family "Bacterial small subunit ribosomal RNA", at positions 28 to 507 of the family's 1533-position model. The record is from RNAcentral.